AGCGCAGGCGGUUAUUUAAGUCAGGUGUGAAAGCCCCGAGCUCAACUUGGGACGUGCAUUUGAAACUGGAUAACUAGAGUGUGUCAGAGGGGGGUAGAAUUCCACGUGUAGCAGUGAAAUGCGUAGAGAUGUGGAGGAAUACCGAUGGCGAAGGCAGCCCCCUGGGAUAACACUGACGCUCAUGCUCGAAAGCGUGGGCAGCAAACA
Molecule: ribosomal RNA, 207 nt
Filed under: uncultured bacterium
Lineage: Bacteria
Description: partial 16S ribosomal RNA
Rfam family: Bacterial small subunit ribosomal RNA
Source: RNAcentral